Molecule: ribosomal RNA, 305 nt
Filed under: uncultured bacterium
Lineage: Bacteria
Description: bacterial SSU rRNA
Rfam family: Bacterial small subunit ribosomal RNA
Source: RNAcentral
CCUACGGGAGGCAGCAGUGAGGAAUAUUGGUCAAUGGGCGGGAGCCUGAACCAGCCAAGCCGCGUGAGGGAAGAAGGUACAGCGUAUCCUAAACCUCUUUUGUCAGGGAACAAAGGCGGGGACUAGUCCCCGGAUGAGGGUACCUGAAGAAAAAGCAUCGGCUAACUCCGUGCCAGCAGCCGCGGUAAUACGGAGGAUGCGAGCGUUAUCCGGAUUUAUUGGGUUUAAAGGGUGCGCAGGCGGCCUGUUAAGUCAGCGGUAAAAGCCCGGGGCUCAACCCCGGCCCGCCGUUGAAACUGGCAGUC